Long non-coding RNA from Panthera uncia (snow leopard), 735 nucleotides. RefSeq lists it as uncharacterized. The transcript has 3 exons. Lineage: Eukaryota; Metazoa; Chordata; Mammalia; Carnivora; Felidae. The record is from RefSeq and is a predicted model, not a curated record.
GAAGAAGGCCCUUGUAGCUCUUCUGGAGUCCAAGGGUGGCUCCCCUUUGCCCUCUAACCCUGUUCCGCACCCAGAUUGGUGACCCUGCCCAGCCCCUCCUUAAGCGUCACCUCGCCCCAUCACCUCUCCCCUUUGUCCUUCAGGGAUGAUUCUGGCCCAAACCCCAAGCCCUGCCAGCCUCUGUCCAUUGUCAUUUCCGCCAGGUGGGGUGGGGGUCUAGACCUGCUCCUGCCCCUCCCCGCCCACACCGCUCCCCAGAGAGCCCUUUCCCAUGGCCCUGAAGACAGGCAGGGUUGUAGAGGGCUUCCCAGUGCUGGGGGAGCAGCCUGCAGGCAGGAGGUGAGGCCCACACAACUGGAAGACCUGUGGUUCUGGCCUGGCCUGAAGGAAGUUAUGAUGACCCCAGCUUUCCCUGCCUGAUGGACCAGGCCACUAGCCUGCCAGGGCAAGGCCAGGAGGGUCAUGCCUGUCCCCAUCCCCAGAGCAGUCUGGCCUCUCUCGCGGCCCACCGUGUGUCCUGCAGCCGGGCUGGCUGGGAGAAUUCAGGAUGCAGGUUGAGGAGGCAGCUGUGCAGGAAGCUCGAGGCCCCGGGAAAGGUCAUCUGUUGUGACCCUGAGAGAUGACCGCGGCGACAUCAAGAAACGGGAACCAUCACAUGAAGGCGUCCUGGCCAGAAGGAAGGGAAAACAUAAGACAGUGCAAAUAAAGUGUGCAGGAGGGGAAAGAAGAGACACA